This 663-nucleotide ribosomal RNA is filed under the name Streptomyces castaneoglobisporus. Its description in RNAcentral is "bacterial SSU rRNA". It matches the Rfam family "Bacterial small subunit ribosomal RNA", at positions 102 to 787 of the family's 1533-position model. Lineage: Bacteria; Bacillati; Actinomycetota; Actinomycetes; Kitasatosporales; Streptomycetaceae. The record is from RNAcentral.
ACGGGUGAGUAACACGUGGGCAAUCUGCCCUGCACUCUGGGAAGGGCGUUCGGGUCUAAACCGGAACAGUUUCACCGGCAACGGUGAUUCUGGAAAGCUCCGGCGGUGCAGGAUGAGCCCGCGGCCUAUCAGCUUGUUGGUGAGGUAACGGCUCACCAAGGCGACGACGGGUAGCCGGCCUGAGAGGGCGACCGGCCACACUGGGACUGAGACACGGCCCAGACUCCUACGGGAGGCAGCAGUGGGGAAUAUUGCACAAUGGGCGAAAGCCUGAUGCAGCGACGCCGCGUGAGGGAUGACGGCCUUCGGGUUGUAAACCUCUUUCAGCAGGGAAGAAGCGAAAGUGACGGUACCUGCAGAAGAAGCGCCGGCUAACUACGUGCCAGCAGCCGCGGUAAUACGUAGGGCGCAAGCGUUGUCCGGAAUUAUUGGGCGUAAAGAGCUCGUAGGCGGCUUGUCACGUCGGUUGUGAAAGCCCGGGGCUUAACCCCGGGUCUGCAGUCGAUACGGGCAGGCUAGAGUUCGGUAGGGGAGAUCGGAAUUCCUGGUGUAGCGGUGAAAUGCGCAGAUUCAGGAGGAACACCGGUGGCGAAGGCGGAUCUCCGGGCCGAUACUGACGCUUAAGGAGCGUAAGCGUGGGGAGCGAACAGGAUUAAGAUCCCC